GCCGACUUAGCUCAAUUGGCAGAGCAACUGAUUUGUAAUCAGUAGGUUGUAGGUUCGAUUCCUAUAGCCGGCACCA
This 76-nucleotide transfer RNA is filed under the name Erysipelotrichaceae bacterium. RNAcentral's name for it is "tRNA-Thr". It matches the Rfam family "tRNA". From Rfam's summary of the family: Transfer RNA (tRNA) molecules are approximately 80 nucleotides in length. Their secondary structure includes four short double-helical elements and three loops (D, anti-codon, and T loops). Lineage: Bacteria; Bacillati; Bacillota; Erysipelotrichia; Erysipelotrichales; Erysipelotrichaceae. The record is from RNAcentral.